UGCAUGUCGAGCGGCCGCUGUAACUACCGGAGCGGCAUGACGGGAGCAGUAUCACGAUGAGGAACGUUAUCCCUUCGGUUCUAACUAACCCAGGGGAAACUUGGGCUCUUACCGGAUACGAUCCGUAAGGAGAAAGAUUUAUCGCCAAACGAUCGGCCCGCGCCCGAUUAGCUAGUUGGUGAGGUAAUGGCUCACCACGGACACGAUCGUUAGUCUGGUCAUGAGAGGAUGAUCAGCCUCACUGGGACUGAGACUCGGACCAGACUCCUACUGGAGGCAGCAGUGGGGAAUAUUGGACAAUGGGCGCAAGCCUGAUCCAGAUCUUGCCCCGCGGGUGAUGAAGGCCUUAGGGUUGUAUAGCCCUUUCGGCUGGGAAGAUAAUGACGGUACCCGCAGAAGAAGCCCCGGCUAACUUCCUGCCAGCAUCCGCCGUCAUACGAAGGAGGACUAGCGUUGCUCGCAAUCACUGGCCGUAAAGCGAACGUAGGCAGGUUCUUACGUCAUAGGUGAAAUCCUGGAGCUCCUCUCCAGAACUGCCUUUGAUACUGAGGAUCUCGCAGUUCAGGAGAGGUGAGUGGAACUGUCCCUGUAGAGGUGAAAUAUCGUAGAUAUUCGUAAAGAACUCCCGUGGACAAGGGGGCUCACUGGCUCGAUCCUGACGCUCAGGUGCGAAAGCGUGGGGAGCAAACAGGAUUAAAUACCCUUGGUAGUCCCCCCCCGUAAACCUAUGGAUGCUAGG
RNAcentral lists this ribosomal RNA (739 nucleotides) under uncultured soil bacterium. Its description in RNAcentral is "bacterial SSU rRNA". It matches the Rfam family "Bacterial small subunit ribosomal RNA", at positions 56 to 820 of the family's 1533-position model. The record is from RNAcentral.